This is a non-coding RNA of Oryctolagus cuniculus (rabbit), 1694 nucleotides long. The record is from RefSeq and is a predicted model, not a curated record. NCBI's taxonomy places the organism in Eukaryota, Metazoa, Chordata, Mammalia, Lagomorpha, Leporidae.
CAAACAUAAUUUUCAAUACUGACUGAACCUUUCCUUCUCUAUACUCAUUUGAAAUAAACGUCUAUCGUGAUGCCUUUUGAAAUCUCAAAAUAUUAAGCUGCUUUUCUUAAAUCCUAAAAAUGUGAUGCAACGAAAUAUACAGAAUAUAUCUCCUUAAUUGAGACAAAUGGCAGGCUACACUCGCCAAAUAUUCGGCCAGGAUAAAUAACAAUGAGAAUGCCGUGCUUCACAGACAAGCAGCCUUUCUGGAAGUCUUCGUUGUUGCAUCUUCAAAGUGCCUCCACGCUGAGCUGACUUCCCUAAAGUCAUAUGGCUAACCAGGAUCAGAACUUGGCAUUCAGUUCAUCAUCUCCAGGCUCUACUGGUGUGAAGAUUAUAGAAAAAAAGAGGAAUGCUUUUACCAUUUAAUGGAGCUGCGACUUCCACUGGGCCAUUUCAUACUCUUUAUGCCACUUGAAGACCAGGGGGCAGGGGUGUAUGUUUUAGCCUGGUUUGAUGGAUACUAAUUCUCAAGGAAAAACAGGAUUGCAGCUAUACAAUGGGGGGAGGGGGGAGAAUAAACAGAACACCUUCUCAUAUUACCAUGCCCAGGGCUAAAAGUUAAUCAAGGACUGGCAAUCUAUUCAGGCAGAACCACCAAAAGCUUAGAUCCCUCAGGAAUGAAGGCUUGUGUGACCCCACUGGGUAAAGAAUCCCAGCCAGCUGAGGUGCUAGCAGAGGGCAAAGCAAACAGAAAUGUCUGGUGGAGGAAGAAAGUCAUAAAUACCAGCAACAGCCUCAUGGCCAUUUGUAGAAACAAAGACUACAGCCUCUACCUACUUCUUCCUUGCUGUGUCAUGACUAUAUCUGCACAUUUUGAUUAAACUCCCUCUUGUUUCGGAAGUUGUUGGUAGUAAUUAAUGAUAUAAUGAAUGUCACCAGUGACUAAAUAAGUGGGAUUGUGUAGAACUAAAGCAAAUGGAUAUUCCCUGGAGAUUUUGGACUUGCAUCUGGACUCACUUUGGAUUUUGUCACUUAAGGGAGGGAAGGAGCAUACUGUAAGUUGUAUGAUGAUCAUUAUAUCACCAUAGGUGAUGAAACUUUUGAAUAUAAGUACAAGUCUACUUUAGGACAUUCAAGGAAAAUGGAAUUAAAAGACAACCUUAUUUUGGUGAAAAAGUUUUUGAAAGCCACGUGCAGUAUUCUUCACAAUAGAUGGUUUACAUGAACUGUUCGAAGAACUCUCAUUUGUGUAGGAAGACUAAUACACAUAGCCAAAAGAGUAAACUGGAGUGAGCAUGAGUCAUUUGUCGACUGCAUUAACCCCUUCCUACUGGGUAGAAAGCACCACUUUGUGGGAGCCUUGGCAAGAAACUCAGCUCACAUCUGCAUCGGAAGGCAAAAGCAGGCCCAAGAAUGCCCUUAUCUUGCCCCAGGGACAGGUGCCACAUCUCAACCGCUGGGUUCUUUGACCCAGCUUUUGUACCUUCAGCAAGUGACAUAGGCAUGAAGGCACAGUUACGUUGCUGUGUUCAGUAGCAAAUAUGGAUAUUGAGAGUGAGUGACCAUGACCGUAUUGUUCCAGCACUCUCCUCAGGGGAGUUAGGGCCAGUGGUGGCUCACAAACCACUGAGAUGUAACUGUGCCUCUGUUCCCACUCCCUGGCCUCCCUUAUUUCCUACCUUAUAUCACUCCAAUAAAUUCCUACACCCUCA